AUCGGUGCAUUCGUCAUGACUCCAGACACUCGUAGCUAUAAUAAAAACAAAACACGUUAUCUUUAAACUACUGAAAUGCUAAUUAAUCGAAAUAAAAAUCGUUUAAGGUAUUAGGUUUAGUUGAUACCAAAGUAUUAAGAGCACCGGCUUUGAAAUGAUGUGGUGAAACUUUACUCUUCUCUCUUGAAACAUAGAUUAGGUUUGGCAUUAUAUACUUUUUGGUAUUGUCCAUAUCUGUCUCACUAUUUUGCAACACCUAUCGUCAAAUUAAUUAGAAUUGAGAUUUAAUUAUAUAAAGAUAUUAGAAUCACAUGUUGCAAACUAUUGUUCUUAAGAAUUUUUUUUUUUUUUUAAAUAGUAUAUGGACCCUGACAAUGCAAAUUCUUAGAAGUACCUGAAUAAUUGUGGGAUGGUCAUGACGAGUGAAUUUGUCGGUCCACAAAUCGAAUACCCCACGAAAUUGAUCGUAUGUGAUAAAUGCAGUCUCAACUUUUCCACUCUUCACCACAUGUUCUACUCUACUCUUCAUGUCUUCAUACAUCAUCUGUUCCACCUCACACUUUAAUAUGUUUGUCUCAUGGCUUUUUAAAAAUUCAAAGAAAUACAGACUUAAUUACUAUACUUAUAAUAUCAUUAAGACAGCUAAUACUCCUAUCGUUUAGGAUAAAUCAUUAAAAUGUCAUGGAUGUUUAACAAUAAUAAAUGAUUAGGAAAUAUCAUGGAUGUACUCAGUCUCCAAAACUCUUGGGGUCAGAAAGGACAUAAUCACCAUUAUUGUCGACAAGAAUGCUAUGAUGGACAACAACAUGUCAACAUUCACUCGUCAUGACCACCCCACAAUUAUUGAGGUAUUUAUAAAUAUAUUUAAAAUUGAAAUUGCAUUCUAAUUUACUAUUCCCUCCGUAUUUGAAUAAAUGUCGUUCUAGCAUUUUUUCUGUGUUUUUAAUUAGUUGUCAUUUUAACAACUUUUACAUAAAAUUUCCUAAAUUACCCUCAAUUAAUUUAUCAUAAUUAAUCAGUCUAAAUUACCAAAACUACAGAUACGAAUCGAUUUUCAUAAAAUUCUGUGCCAUUUCUUAAUUGAUUUAAAAAAUAUAAAAUAUAAUUGUAAAUAAUCGUUUCUCAUAAAGUUAGUUUUGUAAUUCUGUGCCCUUUCUUAAUUCACCCAAAAAUAGUUGAAACGACAUUUUUUCAAAUACCGAGGGAGUAAGAACUUGCAUUGUCAUUGUCUGUUGCUACACAUUUUAUUUUUAUUUGUCGUUAUAAAGUACUCGUUCCAUCCAUGUAUUUUUUCCUCCAUUUAUAUCAUGAUUUAUAAUUUACCCUCGACGAAAGACUACUAAAGGAAAGAACUUGACAAUCAUUGGAACAGUCUUGAGGGGUUUCCCCACUUAUUGUUUAAACGAGAAGACUCAUAAAAUUGUGUUUGACCUACGUAUGCGCAUUUGUCGAAAUUAAAACUUAAAAAUCGUACUAAACCUAAUUAUAAGUUAUUAGUUGAUAAAUAAUAUACAUAUAUACCUUAAUAUUUUCAGCUUCACCACUCCGAGAAUCUGACUUUGAAGAGAAAUAAACUGCAGGAGACCGAUCUUGAACAUUGUUCUUCUUGCAAAAGGGCAACCAAUGCUCAGAGAAUUUAGCAGCCUCCAUAAGAGCAAACAAAGUCAACGACGAUCCUCCAUCGUCCGAUACAUAGACCGAGAUCUUAUCGGACGGAUAUUCAUAUGCCAUCACAGAUAAAGCGGUGUUAACCACCAUCAUCGGAGGCUCCUUGUACGGAUCAGCCGUGCAUAUAAACACGUCCAGCUUCGGAAAGUCCUCCGGUUUAGCUGCAUAUUUCUCAGGGUACUCGGUCCGAUGAACCGGGUUUAACCGGAGGGAAGUUGUGGUUACCCAUAUGAAGGUGAGAACCAUAUCGGAGAGGAGAAGAAGACAUGUUAUAAGAGUGUUGUUUGCUGUGAGAAGUGAGUGUACAUGGUGAUACAUGAGAGCUAUGAUGCCACACGUGUGAAAUACGGCGUAGAUUCUGUAUGGAAUGGUGCGCCCGCACGGAUAACACGUGUGGAGGAUUGCGCCGACGACCGAGUGCUUUCUAUGAGGCUCCAUCGUUUUAGUUACUCUUUUUUACAAAUAGUUUUUGGAGAAGACUGGUAAAGUCAUCUCUACUAGAUUGUUGAUAUUUAUAGCCUUAUAUGCGAGUUUCGUUGUAAAAAAGAGUCGAUAUGUUUACCCGACAAUUUUAGGAUUUCAACAGUGUCACAAAAUGAAUGGUUAAUCUAUGUAAUGUAAGCUAAUUACGGUUUAGUUCCUUCACUAGACUAUUACUGAAGUUUCUUUUAAACUUAACCAUUUUUUAAUUUUUAAAAUAUAUGUUUAAGCUGAUAGCUUAAUUGUAUCCUAUAUUAAAAUAAUUAAAAUUUAGUUAUUAGUAAAAUUGUGUGCAAGCAAAUGAAUAUACAUGCACACAUACAUAUAAAUAAAGGAAAGAUGGUAUUUGUUGAAAAUAUAAAACUCCCUCAUGAAUAAAAAAGGAGAAAAAAACCACGUGGUUGAAAAUAGGGGUUGUGAGAGCCACUACGGCACUGCCUUCACAAUGUAUUGGCGUCGGCGAGAGAGAAGAGAUGAAAAAAAAGCUAUGUACGUACCAUUUUUUUUGUACCUCAUAAUGUCGUAAUCUAACACCUAGCAAUAUUGAUGUAUAUGUUCCAAUUAUUAGUCUAGAUUCACUGUAAACUGGUACAAGUAUAAACCUGUCAAUUUUAUCUUUGGUUUAGAGGUUCGGUUUACCUCACUUUAAUUUGAUUUGGAAUCUGUUUAUGAUGAACCGCCCAUCACCCAAGAAAUGACCAAUCAUAACCUAGAUUCAAAUAUGGUAGUGGUGCGCUAAUUGUAGACAAAAACUAAAUAUUAAGAAGAAUUCAUCACAUUGCUCUCUCUUGCUUCAGUUUAAGCAAGAUGCAUUCAUAGCAUUAUUGUUGAAAAUUAACCCUAAUGGCUAAUGGUGAAGCGUUUUAGUUUUUUGAUAAUGACCUAAUGGUGAAGUUACUUGAGGAGGAAGUAGCAUGACCCUGUAAGAACAAAAGUGAGGAGCCCAGCUAAGAAACAAAUCCUUGAUGUUAAUUUUCCGUCAUCGAUCCUCAACACCAUGGCUUCAUAGAUCGGUAAGCAAUUUACCACCACGAAACUCGCCAGCAUCAGUUCAAGGACGGGUCCUUCUCCCCAAGUGAAAAUAACAUAAAUUCCCCAUACAAAAGCAAGUAGAUUCACUAUGGCGACCGUAGUCAUGGGCAAGAACAUGGACGAAGAGGGCCCGAAAUCAAAGAUCUCUUGCUCGUACCGCUUCAUUUGUUCAUUAUCGUCGUUGGCUUUACUGGUGACGUUGAAUCCUUGAGUCGAGAGGUUUAGGGUUUUGAGAGUGAACUCUGUAAAACCAAAGAAGAAAGAAGAAAGUCCUCUUACCAUCCACAUCCUUUGAUCGUUCCACCAUUUCCGAUAAGUUCCUCCUUCUAAUAAAAAGUCUGAUAGAUCUUGCCCGUAUCCACCGAGAAACAAGCUGAUGUAAAGCCAAAACCACGGAUCCGAUGCCUUGGGGAAGACGCUAAAUCCAUGUAUGAGGGCAACUUGGGGUAAAAGUCCAUAGACGACGAGAGGAAUUGACCAAAACGGCCAAAAUGCAUAGUGGCAAUAGCCUAAGCUCAUUAAUAGGCUCAGUGACUUCAAUCCAUAGGUAAUUGGGUUGUACCUUGAAAAAGUUACUUCAAGAAGUCCAACGGACCAUCGGAUUUGUUGGCCUAUUAUAUCAGUUAGGCAUUUUGGGGACUCUCCAUAAAAUGCAGCCUUUUUAGGGCUGCAAAAUACUGAUCUCCAUCCUUCACAAUGGAGCAUAAAUCCUGUGUAGUAGUCUUCUACUAAUGAGCCGUACCUGAACCCUAUCUGUAAAGUUUUGACAAAUAGAUUAAUUGUGUAACACUACAACUUUUGUAACAAACAAAUAUGUUUUUUUUUAUUCUAGCCAAUUAAUAACAUCUUAUGUUUGAGUUUUUUUUUUUUUUUUUUGAAAAAGAUCUUAUGUUUAAUUAGUUAUUGAAUAAAGAAGUUUUAGUUUUUGAUGGCUAGGAAGUAAUAACAAUACAAUGUCACAGAAAUCAAGAUUGGAGCGUCGAUUGUUUCAAACGAAAUGUUGUUUGCUUUUACAUGUGAAUACACGUAUAAAUGCAAACAUUUUUUUUUUUCAUUUUUAUGUGUGUUUGGUGUUUAUGUUGAUUACACAUGAAUUUUGCUAAGAUGUUUAUAAAUAUGAAUUUUGAGAAGACUAGUUGAUGUAAAGAAACAAAAAAAAUGUAAACUUUACCAAACAAUCAACAUACAUAAAGCUAAGGUUCAUUGUUAUCUUACCUUGGAUCCCCAAUUGGUGUUGCGCUCGUAGUUACAUCCUGCUACAUCGUGUGCCAACGCCAAAAUAUCUUGGUUCUUAAUGGACAUAUCGACAAUCCGAUUUGGUCCAAGUUUUUCUAUCUCAGGCAAAAUCAAACUAGCGGGAGGCCCAUAAAAUGCCCGUCGAUUGAAGAAACACCCAGUUCCCAUAUGAACUGGGCCCGUAAGUCCAUCAAACCCAAUCGUGUUGAUGUCAAAUGGGCGUUUGAGCUCCGAUGCAUAAAUAUCAUUUUUGUUUAUUCCUUGAAAUUUUUGAGGAAAUUGCACAAAUCCUAAACCAAAAUUGAUUUUAGGAUCUGACAAAUAGCAUAGAGCAUGAAGUGGUGUUGUAGGAUUGUUUGAGUACAUGUCACAAUCUAGUGUUAGAAUGAUUGGUGAGUUUGUCAUCACGGCAGAUACUCGUAACUACAAUGAAAACAAAACUUGUGGUUAACGAAAUAUUAUUUAGAAAUGACAGUUUAACCAAGCCAAAAUUUGUCAAGUUAGGGAUUAGUUGAUACCAAAGUAUUAAGAGCACCGGCUUUAUAAUGAUGUGGUGAAACUUUACUCUUCUCUCUUGAAACAUAGAUUAGGUUUGGCAUCAUCUCAUCUGUUUCGUUGUGUUGUAGCACCUUUCCCACAAAUUAAUAGAAAAAAACGAGUUCUUAUUAAUUGUAGAAACUUUUGUUUCUAAAAUAAAACACUCAAAUACACUUUCUUUAUAUGAUACGAUGCGAUACAAAAC
Molecule: long non-coding RNA, 5158 nt
Filed under: Arabidopsis lyrata
Lineage: Eukaryota; Viridiplantae; Streptophyta; Magnoliopsida; Brassicales; Brassicaceae
Description: long non-coding RNA (ALYR_LNC000838)
Source: RNAcentral